This 77-nucleotide transfer RNA is filed under the name Peptoniphilus harei. RNAcentral's name for it is "tRNA-Arg(acg)". It matches the Rfam family "tRNA". From Rfam's summary of the family: Transfer RNA (tRNA) molecules are approximately 80 nucleotides in length. Their secondary structure includes four short double-helical elements and three loops (D, anti-codon, and T loops). The record is from RNAcentral. RNAcentral also lists the same sequence under 8 other names. Lineage: Bacteria; Bacillati; Bacillota; Tissierellia; Tissierellales; Peptoniphilaceae.
GUAUCCUUAGCUCAGCUGGAUAGAGCGUCUGGCUACGGACCAGAAGGUCGGGGGUUCGAAUCCUCUAGGAUACGCCA